This 274-nucleotide ribosomal RNA is filed under the name uncultured bacterium. RNAcentral describes it as "partial 16S ribosomal RNA". It matches the Rfam family "Bacterial small subunit ribosomal RNA", at positions 644 to 916 of the family's 1533-position model. The record is from RNAcentral.
GAGGUCGGGAGAGGGAUGUGGAAUUCCAGGUGUAGCGGUGAAAUGCGUAGAUAUCUGGAGGAACACCGGUGGCGAAGGCGGCAUCCUGGACCGGCAUUGACGCUGAGGCGCGAAAGCCAGGGGAGCAAACGGGAUUAGAUACCCCGGUAGUCCUGGCCCUAAACGAUGAAUGCUUGGUGUGGCGGGUAUCGAUCCCUGCCGUGCCGAAGCUAACGCAUUAAGCAUUCCGCCUGGGGAGUACGGUCGCAAGGCUGAAACUCAAAUGAAUUGACGG